ACUGUUUGACUCCAAACCAAGUAAAACUUCAUCCAUUCCUUAUAUUUUAUUUGAAAAACAAUUGCAAAAUGGAGAAGAUUCUUUGCAGCGUUCAGGAAAAACAUUAAUCAUAAUACUGCAAUCAGGUAAAGG
Helicoverpa armigera (cotton bollworm) is the source of this 132-nucleotide long non-coding RNA. RefSeq lists it as uncharacterized. The record is from RefSeq and is a predicted model, not a curated record. Lineage: Eukaryota; Metazoa; Arthropoda; Insecta; Lepidoptera; Noctuidae. The transcript has 3 exons.